Molecule: unclassified non-coding RNA, 483 nt
Filed under: uncultured fungus
Lineage: Eukaryota; Fungi
Description: partial contains small subunit ribosomal RNA, internal transcribed spacer 1, and 5.8S ribosomal RNA
Rfam family: 5.8S ribosomal RNA (bases 435-483)
Source: RNAcentral
GCAAACUUGGUCAUUUAGAGGAAGUAAAAGUCGUAACAAGGUUUCCGUAGGUAUCGGUUUGCCUACAGCUAACCAGCCCACGACUAUAAUCCAGGGCUUUUCAGUCGUUUACCGGCGACGUGCUCAAUCUGAACUGGGGCAACCAGCAGCCUUUAAUUGGGCUCACAGAUCAGACGAGUGCGGCCAUAUUUAAGUGGUCUUGAUGUGAUCGGCCUUGAACUUGUCCAAAGUUCAAGACCAAGUGGAACCUGCGGAAGGAUCAUUACCGAGAGGAGCAUUCGUGCUCCGGGAGCUUCGGCUCCCUUCUUAACCCUGUGAUUACUAUUCCUUUUGUUGCUUUGGCGGGGGCUUUGCUCUCAUGCUCAGCCCUCGCCAAUAGCCCAUUUUUUCAAUCUUUUUACAGUGGCACUCAAGUUAAAAUAUCUAAUUGAUAAAACUUUCAACAACGGAUCUCUUGGUUCUGGCAUCGAUGAAGAACGCAGC